Molecule: small nuclear RNA, 103 nt
Organism: Phyllostomus discolor (pale spear-nosed bat)
Lineage: Eukaryota; Metazoa; Chordata; Mammalia; Chiroptera; Phyllostomidae
Source: RefSeq, a predicted model, not a curated record
GGGCUUCUGUAGCACAUACACUAAAACUGGACCAAUAAAAAGGACAUCAGCACAGCCUCUGUGCAAGGAAGAUAGGCAAAUUCCCACUAUAUGUUAUAUUUGU